AACGAAUGCUGGCGGCAGGCCUAACACAUGCAAGUCGAACGCCGUAGCAAUACGGAGUGGCAGACGGGUGAGUAACACGUGGGAACGUACCCCUCGGUUCGGGAUAACUCAGGGAAACUUGAGCUAAUACCGGAUACGUCCGAGAGGAGAAAGAUUUAUCGCCGAGGGAUCGGCCCGCGUCUGAUUAGCUUGUUGGUGAGGUAACGGCUCACCAAGGCGACGAUCAGUAGCUGGCUGAGAGGAUGAUCAGCCACAUUGGGACUGAGACACGGCCCAAACUCCUACGGGAGGCAGCAGUGGGGAAUAUUGGACAAUGGGCGCAAGCCUGAUCCAGCCAUGCCGCGUGAGUGAUGAAGGCCCUAGGGUUGUAAACCGCUUUCAGUAGGGACGAAGCGAGAGUGACGGUA
RNAcentral lists this ribosomal RNA (407 nucleotides) under uncultured bacterium. RNAcentral describes it as "bacterial SSU rRNA". It matches the Rfam family "Bacterial small subunit ribosomal RNA", at positions 29 to 477 of the family's 1533-position model. The record is from RNAcentral.